Molecule: non-coding RNA, 4489 nt
Organism: Podarcis lilfordi (Lilford's wall lizard)
Lineage: Eukaryota; Metazoa; Chordata; Lepidosauria; Squamata; Lacertidae
Source: the annotation of a GenBank genome assembly
UAUCAUGACACCGAGGAAGGGGAAGAGGAUCCUGGCAAGGAGUGUUAGCCACAACUGGUACAAAUUGAUGAUUGGGCAGGAGAGGUUGGGGACUUAGGAGGUACUCACAGGACAGUAGUAGGGGAUGUUCAAGGGGCAGCUGACAGUCCAUGGGAGCCAGGGGAAAAGGACACAUCAUUAGAACCAGAGGUACUUCCAUCUCUAUGGACACAGUGGGCUGUGAGGCGUCAGGAACAGUGGGAAACACACUCUAGAAGACUGAGGCAGGCAAGGGAACACAGCCCAGCUCACUAAUUGACCAGGUGGACACCAUGAGGCUUGUUCUGGGAGGUGGUUUGUGGGCACUCAGAUGACUCUAGGCUUUCCUACCUUGGUUCUCUUGCCAAGGUGGGAACCUGGAUUUACUGUUUGACUCUGGACUUUGCUUGUUGUAUUGGACUGGGACCAGUAUUUGACGUUUUGGACUAUCUAGCAUUGCUCUGGAGAUUGUUUGCACCAGUGCAAUGUACUUCCAGUUAUGUGGACACUCCUCACCCAUUCACCCAUGUCCUUUUUCCUCCCCCUUUCAGUCACAUUUUAUCCUAUCUUCAUUUUUUAUCCUUUCUUGGUCCACACUAUAUCCUCCUUGGUCCACUUGUACUUCACAAGUGUUCAUCGUUGUCAAAUGAAAUCAGUUUUAAAUUUCAGGAUAGAACAUCAGGGCUCCUUUAUUAUUAGACCUUUUGCUAAAUGCCUGUGACUUGGAUUCUACCUGGUUAAACCAGCUGUGCCAAGUUAUUACUUCUUUAUCAAUGGUGAAUGCUUGAUCUGAAGGCGCUCCAGGAUCUAUCCUUCCGACUCUGACUCUAUGAAGGGAUUGAUUGGAGAAUAUAAUCCAAUUGAUAAUAUCCAAGCUGGAUGCUACCUCCCCAUUCUUGUUGAAGGAUACCACAUCUCCUGCAGUGUUAUUAAAUGAGAUACUUCUCAGAAUGUGGUGGAGCUAAAUUGAAAACAGAAAAGACAAGUAUUUAGAAAAGGCUGCACUCUAAUACAGGGCUGAGCAAUCCUUUUUCCUCUGAGGUCAGAACCUACAGUGAGUGGAGUCAGGGACAAGCAUGUAGAGAGCCAACCCAUUUUCUCCCACAUAAAUGUUUUUCUCUCAUUCUUUCUGUCAGGCCUCUCUCUCCCUGUUACAUCCCUCAGGCAGAACAGUGGUGUGUGACCCCUGCUCUGACGAAAAAUUUGCAGGCUGUCAAGGGUGUUUCACAGCCAAAGGAAUGCACAUGACAGAUAAUUAUUUAUUGUCAAGAAUACCACAUUUGCUUCUACUCCUCUGGAUGCCUAUACAUAUAUAGCAGCUACACAGCUACACAGCUAUUCACAGGUUUGCUGUAACAACUGGAAUAGCAAGAAUGCUGCUCAUCUCUGUUGACUGUUUUCACUGCUUCCUGACUGUUAGUCAAAUGGUGUCUCAAUGGGCCACAAAACAUCUCCAAGGAAAUGCUUAUCAUGUACAGGGGGGUUUCUGCUCAAACAAGGAGACAGCCAUCAUUGCUCUUUCCUCAGAGAAACAAAGACACAGCCAUCAUCUGUCCACAAAAUUAUAGAUUCAGUUCCUCCUCAAAUUCCAUAUGCCUGAACCCUGAGAGGAAAGAGCAAGUUGACAGUAUUUUGGAAACCCAUACAUUGUGAAGCAAUAAAGGUGCUCUUCCAUGUUGAGGAUGUUCAACCCGUUACCUGCCCAAACAGUUGAUUCUGAUUCUUUACUCUCCCUCCAUAUGCCAUUCCUAUGUGUCUGGGUCUGGAUGUGGACAUAGCAUGUAACGCAUGGGCGAUGGCAUAGACAGCACUGUGGAUACUGUAACUGUGCCCUGUCAUACUCAUUUCAAAAAAUGAUCCUGGAAGGUUCUCUAGCUUCUCUUCUCCUGUGCAAAUGUUCCCAUCCACCUGGUCUGCAGUGAUAUCUGGGAAUACACAAUCAAAAGCCUGUUGCCAGAAGUCCCUGAUAAAACCAUCCCCAUCUGUGUUGGAAGGGUUUCUGUGCUCAACAUACUGAUGAAAUCCUGGUGGGUCACUGAAGUGAAUUUCAAAGGCUAUAGCACCAUUGAAUAGUCCCGAAUCCCAGUUUCUUUGAUAGACAAAUGAAGUGAAUUCAAUCUCAGCUGUUGUUAUCCAAACUUUACUUUUUACAUUAUUUGUCAUAUCGUGUUCUGAUAGGUAUGGAAGCCAUUUUAAAAAUGCCAUGGCGUAAGAUUCUCCAUAACUCACCACUACAUUAGCCUUGCUGCUCAUUAUUUUAUCAUGUAUUUUUGCCCCCUGUUGUAACAUGUCAUUAAUUUCAGGGAUAAAACUAAAAUUGGGAAUUCUUUCUAUGAAGGCAAAACAGAUGCCAUUUUGAGAAAACAAUUGAAGUACUGUAUGCACAAAUCUUUCCCCAUUGUCAUUGUCCACUGCAAUGACCCCAAUCCAUGUCCACUUGAAAUGCAGAAGCAAAGAGAUAAUUCCCUCAUAUUGAAGGUCUUCCUGGGCUGUCAACUGGUAGAAGGAAAGCCCUGGGGUUUUAUCAUUCAUCACUGGAGCAGAGCCAUAAAUGAGCUAAAGAGGGAAUGGAGGAAGGGACGAGACAAAUAUAAUUUCCAGAGUUAUUUCAAACUAUUUAUGUACAUUAUAUGAUGAAUUCUGUUGGCUGCAUGCUGUCUUUCAUUUAGACAAAAUAGACACAUUCAUAUGAGCUGAAAACUGGGAUAAUUUCCCAUUCCUGCUUGUUAAAUAUUUGAUCUGAUGAGUGGGGGCAGGCACUGUGUCUAUUAUUUAUUUAUUUAUUUUUAAAGAUUUUUGUGUGUAUGUCAUUGCUGACUUUGGUAGGUCUUGUGGGUUGAAUAAAAUUGAUGGGAGGGGCACAUCAUGCCCCAAUAAGAGGAUUAGCUACCUGUGCAUUAGAUAUUAUUUAGCUAUGUCAGAACUGUAAGUUCCGAAUUUAUUUUUCUAGAGCUUUUUUCCCCCUUAUUCAUGAUGCACAGACCCCAGCCCAGAGCAAAACUGAGAUUUCUGCCUCCUUUUUACAUGAUUCCUCGCACUUCUUUUAUGAAACCACAUUUCAAUUGUGAACCAGCUGUUCACUGCUAUUACUCCUUUCCAGCAAAGCUUGAUUGUUUCUGCUACUUAACAUAACUUCAUUAUGUGUUUAAUCUUCCCCAAACCCAUUACUUUUGGGGGGUGGUGUGGUGAGGAGGGAGAAGGAUUUUAGUGCCAGUUACCUGAAAGUUUCCCCCUCCCACUGAAUGCACAUUCCUUCUUCACUAAGUAGAAAAUCCUGCAUACCCAAACAUAGCUGGUCCAUUAUCCCACCAGUGGACCUUGGGAUAUCAGUCUCCUGGAAAGGGGAGGGGGUUGAAAUAGAGAAUGAAUUAUUCUCCCCUCCCGUGCAAAUUUACUGCAAAGCACUGUUGUCAUUAAAGUGCAUAGUAGAAAUGAAGAGGUGGAUACUUAGAUUGCAAAGAGGUAUUGCCCAUAAGUGCCAUACCUGUGGAAUCUUAUAGAUAUCCAAAAUGGUUGCCACAUAAAAGGAGAUUUCAGAGUCGAGUCCCCCAAUAACCCCUGUUAGAUUAUUUUCAGUAUCACAUACAUAGUUGGGGACACAUUUCUCCAGUUUGGAUAAAAGUAUCAGUGUGGCAAGAUACGUCUUUCUUGCAUUAGUAUAGCUGUCAUAGAUGUGGAAGCCCAAGGUGAUAUUGGGUAAAAUGUGGGAGCAUCCAUUAAUCUCCUUGACUGCAAAUGCCAAUGCCAGGAUGUGCUGGUAAGCCUUGGGCACCACCCUAGAAUGAGAGUUGCAGAUUGUUUCAGAAGCAUCUUCAACACUUGGAACAUUAAAUAUGUACUCAGAAGUUAAUCAUAUUGAAUUCAGUUAAGUCUACUACUGCGCUACUAGACUACUAGUAUGCUAAAAAUUCUACAAGGAAGGCUCAAGUAGUAUGUGGACCGAGAACUCCCAGAAGUGCAAGCUGGAUUUCGAAGGGGCAGAGGAACCAGAGACCAAAUUGCAAACAUGCACUGGAUUAUGGAGAAAGCUAGAGAGUUCCAGAAAGACAUCUACUUCUGCUUCAUUGACUACGCAAAAGCCUUUGACUGUGUCGACUACAGCAAACUAUGGCAAGUUCUUAAAGAAAUGGGAGUGCCUGAACACCUCAUCUGUCUCCUGAGAAAUCUCUAUGUGGGACAAGAAGCUACAGUUAGAACUGGAUAUGGAACAACUGAUUGGUUCAACAUUGGGAAAGGAGUACGACAAGGUUGUAUAUUGUCUCCCUGCUUAUUUAACUUAUGUGCAGAAUUCAUCAUGCGAAAGGCUGGGCUGGAUGAAUCCCUAGCCGGAAUUAAGAUUGGCGGAAGAAAUAUCAACAACCUCAGAUAUGCAGAUGACACAACCUUGAUGGCAGAAAGUGAGGAGGAAUUAAAGAACCUUUUAUUGAGGGUGAAAGAGGAGAGUGCAAAAUAUGGUCUGAAGCUCAACAUC